RNAcentral lists this non-coding RNA (320 nucleotides) under Betaproteobacteria bacterium UKL13-2. Its description in RNAcentral is "cspA thermoregulator". It matches the Rfam family "cspA thermoregulator", at positions 169 to 428 of the family's 428-position model. Lineage: Bacteria; Pseudomonadati; Pseudomonadota; Betaproteobacteria. The record is from Rfam by way of RNAcentral.
UACAAUGGUGCGUGACUUUUUGAAGUAUGGGCAGUCGCCCAAUCACAUUGAUAUUAGGAAAAGAUAAUGGCAACAGGUACAGUAAAGUGGUUCAACGACGCAAAAGGUUUUGGUUUCGUCACUCCUGAUGAACCCGGCGACGAUUUGUUCGUGCACUUCUCCGCGAUUCAGUCGAGUGGCUUUAAAACGCUAGCCGAAAACCAGAAAGUCUCGUUUGACGUGACCACUGGCCCUAAGGGCAAGCAAGCGACUAACAUCCAGCCUAUCUAGGUUGUUUGGAACACGGAAUUUAAAAACCCCGGCUUGCCGGGGUUUUUUUG